RNAcentral lists this long non-coding RNA (296 nucleotides) under Fukomys damarensis (Damara mole-rat). RNAcentral's name for it is "lncRNA (ENSFDAG00000029663.1)". The record is from RNAcentral. Lineage: Eukaryota; Metazoa; Chordata; Mammalia; Rodentia; Bathyergidae.
GGUGAAGCCAGCAGGGUAUCGACAGCUAAUGGUUAUGCCUUCCUAUUCUGCAGCUUGACUAUAUGAACUGUCAGUUCUAAUGACUUUGGGCAAACAAGGGCAACUGCUCUCUACUGAACACUUUUACCUUCCCAAGCUGAGUUUGACAUAAUUACUGCAUUGGAGCUAAGAUUUGUAAUCUGAUCGCCAAUGUCAAUGGAAAUGAAGGCUUUCAUGAAGAACAAAACCUGUUAAGAAUACUCAAGGCUCAGCAUCAAUCCCACUCAUGAGCAAUUAAAAUAUUAAUUUAUGACGCA